GAUGAACGCUAGCUACAGGCUUAACACAUGCAAGUCGAGGGGCAGCAUGGUCUUAGCUUGCUAAGGCCGAUGGCGACCGGCGCACGGGUGAGUAACACGUAUCCAACCUGCCGUCUACUCUUGGACAGCCUUCUGAAAGGAAGAUUAAUACAAGAUGGCAUCAUGAGUCCACAUGUUCACAUGAUUAAAGGUAUUCCGGUAGACGAUGGGGAUGCGUUCCAUUAGAUAGUAGGCGGGGUAACGGCCCACCUAGUCUUCGAUGGAUAGGGGUUCUGAGAGGAAGGUCCCCCACAUUGGAACUGAGACACGGUCCAAACUCCUACGGGAGGCAGCAGUGAGGAAUAUUGGUCAAUGGGCGAGAGCCUGAACCAGCCAAGUAGCGUGAAGGAUGACUGCCCUAUGGGUUGUAAACUUCUUUUAUAAAGGAAUAAAGUCGGGUAUGGAUACCCGUUUGCAUGUACUUUAUGAAUAAGGAUCGGCUAACUCCGUGCCAGCAGCCGCGGUAAUACGGAGGAUCCGAGCGUUAUCCGGAUUUAUUGGGUUUAAAGGGAGCGUAGAUGGAUGUUUAAGUCAGUUGUGAAAGUUUGCGGCUCAACCGUAAAAUUGCAGUUGAUACUGGAUAUCUUGAGUGCAGUUGAGGCAGGCGGAAUUCGUGGUGUAGCGGUGAAAUGCUUAGAUAUCACGAAGAGCUCCGAUUGCGAAGGCAGCCUGCUAAGCUGCAACUGACAUUGAGGCUCGAAAGUGUGGGUAUCAAACAGGAUUAGAUACCCUGGUAGUCCACACGGUAAACGAUGAAUACUCGCUGUUUGCGAUAUACAGCAAGCGGCCAAGCGAAAGCGUUAAGUAUUCCACCUGGGGAGUACGCCGGCAACGGUGAAACUCAAAGGAAUUGACGGGGGCCCGCACAAGCGGAGGAACAUGUGGUUUAAUUCGAUGAUACGCGAGGAACCUUACCCGGGCUUAAAUUGCAGAUGAAUUACGGUGAAAGCCGUAAGCCGCAAGGCAUCUGUGAAGGUGCUGCAUGGUUGUCGUCAGCUCGUGCCGUGAGGUGUCGGCUUAAGUGCCAUAACGAGCGCAACCCUUGUUGUCAGUUACUAACAGGUUCCGCUGAGGACUCUGACAAGACUGCCAUCGUAAGAUGUGAGGAAGGUGGGGAUGACGUCAAAUCAGCACGGCCCUUACGUCCGGGGCUACACACGUGUUACAAUGGGGGGUACAGAGGGCCGCUACCACGCGAGUGGAUGCCAAUCCCAAAAACCUCUCUCAGUUCGGACUGGAGUCUGCAACCCGACUCCACGAAGCUGGAUUCGCUAGUAAUCGCGCAUCAGCCACGGCGCGGUGAAUACGUUCCCGGGCCU
This 1358-nucleotide ribosomal RNA is filed under the name uncultured bacterium. Its description in RNAcentral is "bacterial SSU rRNA". It matches the Rfam family "Bacterial small subunit ribosomal RNA", at positions 28 to 1381 of the family's 1533-position model. The record is from RNAcentral.